UACGGAGGAUCCAAGCGUUAUCCGGAAUCAUUGGGUUUAAAGGGUCCGUAGGCGGUUUAAUAAGUCAGUGGUGAAAUCUGGUCGCUCAACGAUCAAACGGCCAUUGAUACUGUUAGACUUGAAUUACUAGGAAGUAACUAGAAUAUGUAGUGUAGCGGUGAAAUGCUUAGAUAUUACAUGGAAUACCAAUUGCGAAGGCAGGUUACUACUAGUGGAUUGACGCUGAUGGACGAAAGCGUGGGGAGCGAACAGGAUUAGAUACCCUGGUAGUCCACGCCGUAAACGAUGGAUACUAGCUGUUGGGAGCAAUCUCAGUGGCUAAGCGAAAGUGAUAAGUAUCCCACCUGGGGAGUACGUUCGCAAGAAUGAA
RNAcentral lists this ribosomal RNA (370 nucleotides) under uncultured bacterium. Its description in RNAcentral is "bacterial SSU rRNA". It matches the Rfam family "Bacterial small subunit ribosomal RNA", at positions 524 to 898 of the family's 1533-position model. The record is from RNAcentral.